CCCCCUCCAAACCGACCUUCGACAACCGCCUAUCGUCCCCUAUAAAUAGCCAGCGAGGUCUCCUCCCUCCACACACAUGAGCCGAGCUCCUCUCUCUCUCUCUCCUGUUAUGGCGACCACCGCCGGCCAUCGAUCGAUCUCCAUCCCUAGAGCAUCCUAAAUCAAAUCCAUUCGCCACCAGCCUCCCCGUACACCGAAGAACCCAUUUUAGCCCUUUUCCCCUUCACUCCCACUUUCAAUCGAGCCUCACCGGAGCUCUCUCUCUCUCUCCGGUUCAUGCCAUUGUGCUCGCCGUUCCGGCCUCCUCUCUCACUCCCGUGUCCAGCCACCACACUCCCUAGGUGCGCAACACCCGGGAACACCCUAUGCCGCCCGCGGCGAAGCUGUUCCACCACUGGAACACCGGCGCCCCUUCCUCCCUCUCCUCUCCCUCCUCUCGAGCCUCUGUGUAACGGGAGGAAGAAGAAGACGUGAAGAAGGAGAGAGAAAGAGAAAAGAAGAAAGAAAAGAAAAGAAAGGAAAGGAAAAAGUAUUGACAGUGGUUCCUUUUGUAAGUCCUCGCGCAGGAGGCAAUCUUAUGCCGAGCAGGGCAUCCUAUGAUAUUUAUCGAGGCGCAGGUAAAUAUAUUGAUUUUUACUCAUGAGUUGUGUGUGUGAUUUUAUGGAAACCUGGUUGAGAUGAUGUGGGGUCUCUCAUCCAGUUCUCUCUAAAAACCCCAGGAAUGCCAGAACUCCUCUCGCUGCUGAUAACGUUACGUUCAGAGCGCAUGGGGACUAGAGUUCAUGGAACAGGUGCCACUAUUGUUAAUAACCUAAUACUAGGCCAUGACUAAGCUAAUGAAUAUUGGCAAGUCGUGGAUUGCGGGUAAAGUGUACAUCUACUGCAGUAGAAUAUUCAUGAAACUAUUCGAAUAGCCGUGCUCAUGGAAUUGAGUACCGGGACUCAUAUGGUAUUUGGUUAGAAACCUAAUUCAAGAUUUUACUAAAUAUUGUUGCAUUAAAGUCAUUACAGGCUUUCUUAUUCUAUAUCCUCUGCUUUCUGCAAUUAAAUCUAGCCCUACUCAAAUACUACUAUUUCAUACAUUCAUGUUGAAUAUAAUAGCUUGCUGAGUACGUUGUACUCACCCUUACUUCAACCCCACCUUUUUUAGAGUCAAUUUGGAGUUCUUAUCGAAGCUGGGAGUUCAAUCACAUAAGUUAGUUCCCUUUAAACCUAGUCUUCAAGUCUAGUAUUGUUAGAUGGUUUAACUCUAUAGCAAAACAUUAGAGUUGGUUCAUUCUAUAGCUCCUGCUGUAUUAGUUAGCCACAAGUUUGUAAAUAUCCAUAUAUUUUAUCUUCUCUGGAGCCUUGUUCAAAUGUAUGCAAUGAAGAUCCAGAUUGUUGAACCUGUAUCAAUCUACUGAUCCA
This is a non-coding RNA of Oryza sativa Japonica Group (Japanese rice), 1407 nucleotides long. Lineage: Eukaryota; Viridiplantae; Streptophyta; Magnoliopsida; Poales; Poaceae. The record is from RefSeq and is a predicted model, not a curated record.